Molecule: ribosomal RNA, 253 nt
Filed under: uncultured bacterium
Lineage: Bacteria
Description: partial 16S ribosomal RNA
Rfam family: Bacterial small subunit ribosomal RNA
Source: RNAcentral
UACGAAGGGGGCUAGCGUUGCUCGGAAUUACUGGGCGUAAAGCGCACGUAGGCGGAUUGCUAAGUCAGUGGUGAAAUCCUGGAGCUCAACUCCAGAACUGCCUUUGAUACUGGCGAUCUCGAGUCCGGGAGAGGUGAGUGGAACUGCGAGUGUAGAGGUGAAAUUCGUAGAUAUUCGCAAGAACACCAGUGGCGAAGGCGGCUCACUGGCCCGGUACUGACGCUGAGGUGCGAAAGCGUGGGGAGCAAACAGG